GGGACCAAUGAUAAGGACUUCCCAUCGGUAAAGGUCAUUGUCAUCUAUUAAACCUGCUGAAAAGCCUUCCACUGGAUUUUUGUUGAGUUCUGCCAGCCGUCUGUGCAGUAGCAGCGCCGACUGCAGCUCCGUCAUCCUCCCGCCGAGGGCCCGGGCCGGCGCCGGGGCUUUCGGAGGGCCGGGGGCAGGCUCUUGGGGGCGCCUGGAGCUGGAGCCGGGUGUGCUGAGGAACGCGGGCCCCCGCGACGGGAGCGCUGGAGCCGGGGCAGGGCCGGGCUGGGGCGGCGGGUCCGCUCGGCUCCACACAGCGCCUCACGCCCGGAAGGGGAGGGCGCCCGGGCGGCCGCGGCGCGCGCUGGGACUCCGCUCGCCCGCUUCCCUCCUUCAAGCCUCCUGUCGGCCCCGCCGGUGCCUUCCCCCGCCACUGCCUCACUGCGCGCAGGGCCGCUCCGCGCAGGCGCGCUGGGGCUGCCCACCUCGGUGGGGCCCGCCCGCAAGCCCGACC
This is a long non-coding RNA of Herpailurus yagouaroundi (jaguarundi), 505 nucleotides long. RefSeq lists it as uncharacterized. Lineage: Eukaryota; Metazoa; Chordata; Mammalia; Carnivora; Felidae. The record is from RefSeq and is a predicted model, not a curated record. The transcript has 4 exons.